RNAcentral lists this ribosomal RNA (253 nucleotides) under uncultured bacterium. RNAcentral describes it as "partial 16S ribosomal RNA". It matches the Rfam family "Bacterial small subunit ribosomal RNA", at positions 524 to 776 of the family's 1533-position model. The record is from RNAcentral.
UACGUAGGGUGCAAGCGUUGUCCGGAAUUAUUGGGCGUAAAGAGCUCGUAGGCGGUUUGUUGCGUCGGCUGUGAAAACCUGAGGCUCAACCUCAGGCCUGCAGUCGAUACGAGCAGACUAGAGUGUUGCAGGGGAGACUGGAAUUCCUGGUGUAGCGGUGAAAUGCGCAGAUAUCAGGAGGAACACCGGUGGCGAAGGCGGUUCUCUGGGCAUGACCUGACGCUGAGGAGCGAAAGUGUGGGGAGCGAACAGG